Molecule: ribosomal RNA, 594 nt
Filed under: [Eubacterium] sulci
Lineage: Bacteria; Bacillati; Bacillota; Clostridia; Peptostreptococcales; Anaerovoracaceae
Description: bacterial SSU rRNA
Rfam family: Bacterial small subunit ribosomal RNA
Source: RNAcentral
UUAUUGCAUGUACCGUAUGAAUAAGGACCGGCUAAUUACGUGCCAGCAGCCGCGGUAAUACGGAAGGUCCAGGCGUUAUCCGGAUUUAUUGGGUUUAAAGGGAGUGUAGGCGGUUUGUUAAGCGUGUUGUGAAAUUUAGGUGCUCAACAUUUAACUUGCAGCGCGAACUGUCAGACUUGAGUACACGCAACGUAUGCGGAAUUCAUGGUGUAGCGGUGAAAUGCUUAGAUAUCAUGAAGAACUCCGAUUGCGAAGGCAGCAUACGGGAGUGUAACUGACGCUUAAGCUCGAAGGUGCGGGUAUCGAACAGGAUUAGAUACCCUGGUAGUCCGCACAGUAAACGAUGGAUGCCCGCUGUUAGCGCCUGGCGUUAGCGGCUAAGCGAAAGCAUUAAGCAUCCCACCUGGGGAGUACGCCGGCAACGGUGAAACUCAAAGGAAUUGACGGGGGCCCGCACAAGCGGUGGAGUAUGUGGUUUAAUUCGACGCAACGCGAAGAACCUUACCAGGUCUUGACAUCCUCUUGACAGAUCCUUAAUCGGAUCCUUCUUCGGACAAGAGAGACAGGUGGUGCAUGGUUGUCGUCAGCUCGUGU